This 493-nucleotide ribosomal RNA is filed under the name uncultured bacterium. RNAcentral describes it as "bacterial SSU rRNA". It matches the Rfam family "Bacterial small subunit ribosomal RNA", at positions 28 to 507 of the family's 1533-position model. The record is from RNAcentral.
GAUGAACGCUAGCUACAGGCUUAACACAUGCAAGUCGAGGGGAACGACAUCGAAAGCUUGCUUUUGAUGGGCGUCGACCGGCGCACGGGUGAGUAACGCGUAUCCAACCUGCCCACCACUUGGGGGAUAACCUUGCGAAAGUAAGACUAAUACCCAAUGAUAUCCCACGAAGGCAUCCGAAUGGGAUUAAAGAUUUAUCGGUGAUGGAUGGGGAUGCGUCUGAUUAGCUUGUUGGCGGGGUAACGGCCCACCAAGGCAACGAUCAGUAGGGGUUCUGAGAGGAAGGUCCCCCCACAUUGGAACUGAGACACGGUCCAAACUCCUACGGGAGGCAGCAGUGAGGAAUAUUGGUCAAUGGGCGAGAGCCUGAACCAGCCAAGUAGCGUGCAGGAUGACGGCCCUAUGGGUUGUAAACUGCUUUUAUAAGGGAAUAAAGUGGGUCACGUGUGACUUUUUGCAUGUACCUUAUGAAUAAGGACCGGCUAAUUCCGUG